Molecule: ribosomal RNA, 520 nt
Filed under: uncultured Glomus
Lineage: Eukaryota; Fungi; Glomeromycota; Glomeromycetes; Glomerales; Glomeraceae
Description: SSU rRNA
Rfam family: Eukaryotic small subunit ribosomal RNA
Source: RNAcentral
AGCAGCCGCGGUAAUUCCAGCUCCAAUAGCGUAUAUUAAAGUUGUUGCAGUUAAAAAGACUCGUAGUUGAAUUUCGGGAUCAAGUUGUUGGUCGUGCCUCGGUACGCACUGGUGACAUUGGUUUCUCCCUUCUGAAGAACCUUGAUGUCAUUAAUUUGGUGUCUUGGGGAAUCAGGACUGUUACUUUGAAAAAAUUAGAGUGUUUAAAGCAGGCUCACGCUUGAAUACAUUAGCAUGGAAUAAUGAAAUAGGACGUUUGAUUCUAUUUUGUUGGUUUCUAGGAUCGACGUAAUGAUUAAUAGGGAUAGUUGGGGGCAUUAGUAUUCAAUUGUCAGAGGUGAAAUUCUUGGAUUUAUUGAAGACUAACUACUGCGAAAGCAUUUGCCAAGGAUGUUUUCAUUAAUCAAGAACGAAAGUUAGGGGAUCGAAGACGAUCAGAUACCGUCGUAGUCUUAACCAUAAACUAUGCCGACUAGGGAUCGGAUGAUGUUAAUUUUUAAUGACUCAUUCGGCGUCUUAC